Molecule: ribosomal RNA, 316 nt
Filed under: uncultured Nitrospirota bacterium
Lineage: Bacteria; Pseudomonadati; Nitrospirota
Description: bacterial SSU rRNA
Rfam family: Bacterial small subunit ribosomal RNA
Source: RNAcentral
AGCUAACGUUGGCGGCGUGCCUAACACAUGCAAGUCGAACGCGCCGUAGCAAUACGGUGAGUGGCAGACGGGUGAGUAACACGUGGGUAAUCUCCCUCCGAGCGGGGAAUAAGCACUCGAAAGGGUGUCUAAUACCGCAUGACGUCCUGAGGCGAUAGCCGAUGGAUUAAAGCCGUAAGGCGCUUGGAGAUGAGCCUGCGUCCUAUUAGCUAGUUGGCGGGGUAACGGCCCACCAAGGCGAUGAUCGGUAGCUGGUCUGAGAGGAUGAUCAGCCACACUGGGACUGCGACACGGCCCAGACACCUACGGGUGGCAG